This 464-nucleotide ribosomal RNA is filed under the name uncultured bacterium. Its description in RNAcentral is "bacterial SSU rRNA". It matches the Rfam family "Bacterial small subunit ribosomal RNA", at positions 338 to 795 of the family's 1533-position model. The record is from RNAcentral.
CCUACGGGACGCACCAGUGGGGAAUAUUGCACAAUGGACGCAAGCCUGAUGCAGCCAUGCCGCGUGUAUGAAGAAGGCCUCGGGUUGUAAAGUACUUUCAGCGGGGAGGAAGGCGAUAAGGUUAAUAACCUUGUCGAUUGACGUUACCCGCAGAAGAAGCACCGGCUAACUCCGUGCCAGCAGCCGCGGUAAUACGGAGGGUGCAAGCGUUAAUCGGAAUUACUGGGCGUAAAGCGCACGCAGGCGGUCUGUCAAGUCGGAUGUGAAAUCCCCGGGCUCAACCUGGGAACUGCAUUCGAAACUGGCAGGCUAGAGUCUUGUAGAGGGGGGUAGAAUUCCAGGUGUAGCGGUGAAAUGCGUAGAGAUCUGGAGGAAUACCGGUGGCGUAGGCGGCCCCCUGGACAAAGUCUGACGCUCAGGUGCGAAAGCGUGGGGAGCAAACAGGAUUAGAUACCCCUGUAGUC